This 1249-nucleotide long non-coding RNA is filed under the name Dasypus novemcinctus (nine-banded armadillo). RNAcentral's name for it is "lncRNA (ENSDNOG00000051587.1)". The record is from RNAcentral. Lineage: Eukaryota; Metazoa; Chordata; Mammalia; Cingulata; Dasypodidae.
CCGAGGUUCAGAGAGGUAUACUUGCUUGGGCAGCCAGUCGGAAAUCCAGCACGCUACCCAGACCUAGGGCUAGCCCAGUCGGACUCCUUCACUGACUCUCAUGCUCGCUGAAAAGUUCUGCCAGAAAAACAAGGGGGUGGGGGGGUACAACUUGGUUUACGUUUCUCAUGAUGUUUGCUUUUGGGCUCUCAGGAAACUGGCACGUUUCGCUUGUGCCGAGUAAACGUGGGCUUUACUCCCAGCAGCACCAAAAACAUUUUGGAGGCAUAAGGCUCGGAAGCUGGCAUGCCAGCGGGGACAGAAAUGAGAGGAUGCAACAGCUGGUCAGGUGGACGGGCCCUGUCACCUUGGGGGAGGCCGGCGCUACACGUAAAGGGAAAUUCGCUCACUGUCUAAGGUGCUGGUGGAGGUGUCACAGCUCUCUGUCCCAGUCGGGGGACUGGCGGUGCAGAAAGUUUCAAAAUGAAAACCUGGAGACCCAAAUAAUCGCAAGCCAGAAAUCUGCCCAUCCAGCUUGAAGGAUUCCAGUCCCGUGGUCGCACAGAUUGUCUAUCUGGGAGGCUGAAGCUGUGCUAAGCCCUGAGUUUACUGGGAGCGUCUCGAUACUCCACGUUGGCUGGCCUUGCUCUUGGAGCUAAAGCUGGAAGGGAAAUCAUUUCUUUUUCUAUACCUCAGAGCAAUUCUACUCUCUUAAAGCAGGCCUCUGGCUCGCUGCUACUUUCCUUAGUUAGGUGUUCCAAAUGAUAUCAGUUCUGAGAAGAUCAAUUAUUAAUGAAAAGUCGGGGAAUGCUCACUGGUUAUUUGCAUUGAUUUGGUUGACAAGACGCAGGUUCCUUUUGAACUGCCUAAGUCUGUGGAAGGGACAGGGAGCAGAAAAAUGCAAGAAUCCAGAACAGCUGGGGGUUCGAGGCCUCCACCAAACUAGAGGGACCAUGGAGAGUGUAAAGCUUUGCCCAGGACGAGGACAUUGGGCCAUCCUCCCAGGGACCCCAAAUAAAGCCAUUUCCAUAAAGACAAAUGAUGGCUGCCGUUGGCCAGUACCGUGAGCAGCCACGGUGAUAUAAUUGGCCUGUUACCACAUCAUCUUUAAUCAAUAGGAUCUGGAGUUUUCCACACGGCUCAUGCGGCCCAAAUCUUACUGGCAGCCAAGAAUCAGCAGGUUGUUGAAAGGCCCAAUAGUUCUGCCUUGCUAAUGGGUGGCUUGUUCCCUCAACCCUGCUGAUUUUUUAAAUAAAGCUAAAUUCCAAUA